Molecule: long non-coding RNA, 1034 nt
Organism: Apis cerana (Asiatic honeybee)
Lineage: Eukaryota; Metazoa; Arthropoda; Insecta; Hymenoptera; Apidae
Source: RefSeq, a predicted model, not a curated record
AAUAAACUUGUUCUCUCAUUUUGCUUCAGAGUGGUAUCUCUGAGUGAUGGACAUUAGAUAUUACGUUUUUUCUUUUUUUUUAAUCCUAUCUCUUCUUUAUUUUGUUUUUUUUUUCUUUCUUUGUUUUACCGAGUACCCAUUGAAACGUUUACAAAACUCUCGUGACUGUAAGAUUUCCACUUAUCAAUUUGUUCUCUCGUCUUAUCGUUGGUGUUUUUUAAUAAAUUGCCCGAACCCUGGCGGAAAUUCGGUUAUUCUUUUACAACAAGCAUCGUUGUUAAGAGCAUAUAGAGUUUCAAAGAAGAAGCGUUUCGUGUUCUUUUUUUUUUCUUUCCCUCUCUCUUUAAAUUUACAUCAAGAAAGAUAUAUAUACGCGUAUGUAUAAUAUACAAUUCUCAUCGGCCAAUGAGUCGAACGUCAUCUAUAUAAGCAUGGAUUGACAGGUGAUGGGGAUGUGACGAAGGUGAAAAAGUGGGGAAAGGAAUUUUUUUGAAUGGAUGUUCGAAGGAAUGGAAUCUCGAUCCGGGAACAGGGAAAAGAGACAGAGAGAUGGAAAGGAUUCGGGUAAUUGUCGUAAUUAUAAACAUUGCGAUCUAAAAGUACAAUUCUCGAUAAUAAUAAAUCACUUUAUGACUUGUACUUUUUUUUUUUUUUAAUUCUCGCACGAUUGUCUAUAUUCCCGAAAUACUUGCGUUGAACAUCUUCGAAUGGACUGGUGUCUCGGUUUAUCAUUCCCUUCCCCACACAUACGCAUGCACAAUAACGAAGGGCCAAGAAUGAUCUUGAUUUUUCUUUCUCUUGCGCUACAUCGCUGAUUUUACCUUCACUUAGGGGGAUAAUACACUUGGUUAUUGUUUUUGGCUGGGUAACGAGGCUGCCACGAGAUCGCCAUUGACGUUUUUUCCUUCUUUUUUCAACGUUCAAUGCAAUAUUUUCCAUCAAUAUUACAAUUAACGAAUAAAAGAUGCGACGUUACAGUUAGUCACAAAAGUAUCCAGUAGUAUCCAAGUAGUAUUUUGGGAAGAAGAGAACAA